Molecule: ribosomal RNA, 468 nt
Filed under: uncultured bacterium
Lineage: Bacteria
Description: partial 16S ribosomal RNA
Rfam family: Bacterial small subunit ribosomal RNA
Source: RNAcentral
GACGAACGCUGGCGGCGUGCUUAACACAUGCAAGUCGAACGGAAAGGCCCUGCUUUUGUGGGGUGCUCGAGUGGCGAACGGGUGAGUAACACGUGAGUAACCUGCCCUUGACUUUGGGAUAACUUCAGGAAACUGGGGCUAAUACCGGAUAGGAGCUCCUGCUGCAUGGUGGGGGUUGGAAAGUUUCGGCGGUUGGGGAUGGACUCGCGGCUUAUCAGCUUGUUGGUGGGGUAGUGGCUUACAAAGGCUUUGACGGGUAGCCAGCCUGGGAGGGUGACCGGCCACAUUGGGACUGGGAUACGGCCCAGACUCCAACGGGAGGCAGCAGUGGGGAAUAUUGCACAAUGGGCGGAAGCCUGAUGCAGCAACUCCGCGUGCGAGAUGACGGCCUUCGGGUUGUAAACCGCUUUCGCCUGUGACGAAGCGUGAGUGACGGUAAUGGGUAAAGAAGCACCGGCUAACUACGUG